This is a long non-coding RNA of Rhea pennata, 744 nucleotides long. RefSeq lists it as uncharacterized. NCBI's taxonomy places the organism in Eukaryota, Metazoa, Chordata, Aves, Rheiformes, Rheidae. The transcript is spliced from 2 exons. The record is from RefSeq and is a predicted model, not a curated record.
GGGCGUUUUGCAUGAAAGGGGGCGCGGGAGCAGCUGCUCCGCGAGGACGGUGGGGAACCCGGCGAACCGGGGCGGUUGCGGUUUGGGUGGAGAAACGGCCGGUUUGGGGCGCUCGCCCUGCCGCCGUUUUCGGUUUCGCGCCCCCCCCCCCCCCUUCUGCCGCUGAAUGGGGAGUUUGGGCCAAAAAAAAUGAGAUUUUGGGGUGUUUUUUGGACAAAGUCGAGGUUUCGGGGGUGUUUUGGCGGAAAACCGCCGCCGCCGAGGGGCGGUUUGGGGGCAAAAAGGGGCCUUUUUGGGGAAAACCGGGCGUUUUGGCGGCGGCGGAGCAGGUUCGGCGGGUGAAACGCGGGUUUUGUGCGUUAAGAAGGUUUUGCAGCAGAUCGGUUCGUCCGCAGGUGGAAAAGGGGCGGGGGGGUAGUUUUGCGGGGAAAAGGGGCGAUUUCUGCGGGAGAAGGGCGCGCUGGGGCGGUCGGCGGGCAGAGCGGCUGCGGCGGGGGCUCGGCGCCCCGCGCCCCUUUUCCUGCCCUCCUCGCGGAGCAGGCGCAAAAUAGGCAGCGUUGCCCCGAGCGGCCGCUUUUGGGCGGAAACGGCUCGGUUUUGGGGGCAGUUGCUUGAUCGUUUUGCAGGAACCUCCCCCCCCCACCACCACCCAGGGGCUUGACCAAAAGCGGAAGAUUUUGCCACGAAAAAUGAGAAUUCAGGCAGUUUUGCAACGUUGACACAAGCAUUUUAUUACAAAAAUAA